This 348-nucleotide unclassified non-coding RNA is filed under the name soil metagenome. RNAcentral describes it as "partial contains 5.8S ribosomal RNA, internal transcribed spacer 2, and large subunit ribosomal RNA". The stretch from base 1 to 120 matches the Rfam family "5.8S ribosomal RNA", at positions 35 to 154 of the family's 154-position model. The record is from RNAcentral.
GAUGAAGAACGCAGCGAAAUGCGAUAAGUAAUGUGAAUUGCAGAAUUCAGUGAAUCAUCGAAUCAUUGAACGCACAUUGCGCCCGCCAGUAUUCUGGCGGGCAUGCCUGUCUGAGCGUCAUUUCAACCCUCAUGCCCCUAGGGCGUGGUGUUGGGGAUCGGCCAAAGCCCGCGAGGGACGGCCGGCCCCUAAAUCUAGUGGCGGACCCGUCGUGGCCUCCUCUGCGAAGUAGUGAUAUUCCGCAUCGGAGAGCGACGAGCCCCUGCCGUUAAACCCCCAACUUUCCAAGGUUGACCUCAGAUCAGGUAGGAAUACCCGCUGAACUUAAGCAUAUCAAUAAGCGGAGGA